This 275-nucleotide long non-coding RNA is filed under the name Homo sapiens (human). RNAcentral describes it as "non-protein coding lnc-FECH-1:1". The record is from RNAcentral. Lineage: Eukaryota; Metazoa; Chordata; Mammalia; Primates; Hominidae.
CCUCCCAGAGGGCAGAGCCAUCCAUCAAAGCUGGGCAGGUCUCCAGCUCAGGUAACCACCGCACUUACACAAUUGUCCCUUACGAAAAGGCAGCGGGAUGACAGCUCAUUCACUAUCAUGAGAACAGCAUGGGGGAAACUGCCCCCAUGAUUCAAUUACCUUCACCUGGUCUGUCCCUUGACACAUGGGGACUGUGGGGAUUAUGGGGAUUACAAUUCAAGAUGAGAUUUGGGAGGGGACCAAAGCCUAACCAUAUCAUGGAAGUUUUAAAAAUC